Molecule: ribosomal RNA, 863 nt
Filed under: uncultured bacterium
Lineage: Bacteria
Description: bacterial SSU rRNA
Rfam family: Bacterial small subunit ribosomal RNA
Source: RNAcentral
UUAAAANUUCGGGGCUUAACCCCGUGAUGGGAUGGAAACUGCUGAUCUAGAGUAUCGGAGAGGAAAGUGGAAUUCCUAGUGUAGCGGUGAAAUGCGUAGAUAUUAGGAAGANCACCAGUGGCGAAGGCGACUUUCUGGACGAACACUGACGCUGAGGCGCGAAAGCCAGGGGAGCGAACGGGAUUAGAUACCCCGGUAGUCCUGNCCGUAAACGAUGGGUACUAGGUGUAGGAGGUAUCGACCCCUUCUGUGCCGGAGUUAACGCAAUAAGUACCCCGCCUGGGGAGUACGACCGCAAGGUUGAAACUCAAAGGAAUUGACGGGGGCCCGCACAAGCGGUGGAGUAUGUGGUUUAAUUCGACGCAGCGCGAAGAACCUUACCAGGUCUUGACAUUGAUGGACAGAACCAGAGAUGGUUCCUCUUCUUCGGAAGCCAGAAAACAGGUGGUGCACGGUUGUCGUCAGCUCGUGUCAUGAGAUGUUGGGUUAAGUCCCGCAACGAGCGCAACCCCUAUCUUAUGUUGCCAGCACUUUGGGUGGGAACUCAUGAGAGACUGCCGCAGACAAUGCGGAGGAAGGCGGGGAUGACGUCAAAUCAUCAUGCCCCUUAUGACCUGGGCUACACACGUACUACAAUGGGAGUUAAUAGACGGAAGCGAGAUCGCGAGAUGGAGCAAACCCGAGAAACACUCUCUCAGUUCGGAUCGUAGGCUGCAACUCGCCUACGUGAAGUCGGAAUCGCUAGUAAUCGCAGGUCAGCAUACUGCGGUGAAUACGUUCCCGGGCCUUGUACACACCGCCCGUCACACCACGAAAGUCGGAAGUGCCCAAAGCCGGUGGGGUAACCUUCGGGAGCCAGCCNU